RNAcentral lists this long non-coding RNA (866 nucleotides) under Heterocephalus glaber (naked mole-rat). Its description in RNAcentral is "lncRNA (ENSHGLG00000044508.1)". Lineage: Eukaryota; Metazoa; Chordata; Mammalia; Rodentia; Bathyergidae. The record is from RNAcentral.
GGGACUCAUGCCUGACGUGACAUCCAGUGCGCAAUCCCUGCACAGAUCCGAGCCUCCCGCGUCUGUCCCUUGGAACGCUUCCCCUGGCAGUGGCCUGUGAGUGUGGACUGAGGGCAGUGGGAGGAGCAGCUGCUUUUCCCCAGCCUGAGCUGUCGGGCCAGCCUGAUGUGCACUCCUGCCUGGCCACUGCAGAAGCAAACACAGGGCAGCUGGGUCAGGUUCCUGUGAGGUCUCAGAGAAUGGAGCCAGGCUGGAGCCUGCACAUUUCUCAACCCCCAGGCAACUGUUGACGAGGCCUUGAGGGCUCUGGGCCUCUUAGGCCCUGGCUCCAGCAGCAGCUGUGAGCAGUGCAGCCGCUGAGCACCCUGCGGCCUGCUGGCAGCAACUGUGGGAAUGCAAUCUCGUGUGGAAGCACAGCAGCUGAAACAGAGCAAGGGGGCGUUGCCUGGGACAGAAGUGGGGCUGCACCUAUCACACCUACCAGCCUCCCCCAUCGUCCCUUCUUGCCCGGAUUUUACCACCGCCACAUCUUCUGGGGACCUUAGGCUUCCUCGGAACCCAGUUUGAGAACCACUGCCUUUGUUCUCUGCCCUUCCUCUUGGACCUGGGAAAACUAAGAUCUGGAGUAGCACAAUGACCAUCCAAUACUGAAAGACCAGUAUGUGGUAGAGGUAGAACCAGAAAUCAGGCUUCCUAUUGUUUUGCUUGAGGAUUUGGUGCUGGCCACAGAGUCUUUAUGGCCCUAUACCAUGAUGUAGAUAGAUAUGGAUGGUUAGGCACAGGCACCACCCAGAGAGACGAUCUAUAUCCAUACCAAAAUGAUCUAUGUCACACACGGAGAUGCAGACAAUAUAUAAGUUUCUGAG